This 253-nucleotide ribosomal RNA is filed under the name uncultured bacterium. RNAcentral describes it as "partial 16S ribosomal RNA". It matches the Rfam family "Bacterial small subunit ribosomal RNA", at positions 524 to 776 of the family's 1533-position model. The record is from RNAcentral.
UACAGAGGUGGCAAGCGUUGCUCGGUAUCACUGGGCUUAAAGGGCGCGUAGGCGGUGCGGUACGGUUUCGGUGAAAUCCCUCGGCCCAACCGGAAAAGUGCCUCUGAUACUGGUCGUCUUGAGGGAGGUAGGGGUCGAGGGAACUGGUGGUGGAGCGGUGAAAUGCGUAGAUAUCACUAGGAACGCCGGUGGCGAAAGCGCUCGACUGGACCUCUUCUGACGCUGAGGCGCGAAAGCCAGGGGAGCAAACGGG